GUUUUCAGCAGCUAAAUCUUCAGAAGCUGAGCCUUCAAGACUAGAAUUUGGGGUUUUCAAAACUAGGAUUUGGGGUUUCAGAAACUGAGCCUUUAGAACUAGAGUCUGUGUCAGGGAUAGAAUCUAAUGUUUCAGCAAGUCAUGUAUUCAGAGCUCUAGAGCUAGAGUCUGAAUUUUCUGAACUAGUGUCUAUGUGAACAGAGCUAAUGUGCAGCUGCUAAUCAUUUUCAUUUUAAAACUGCACAAAAGUUUUUCUUUUAACUUCUGCUUUCUAGCAAAAACAGAACAAAACAAAAAAAACAGCUGGACAGUUAAUUUCAGUUUUCUAAGUGUGCAAAGAUUUUUCAGCAUGCCUUCCACUCUCCAGGAAUUUUAAAGGUCACUUCCACAGAUCGUGAGAGACCAUAGACUGCUGAGUAAAGCUGAGUAAUCUCUUCAAAUUGAACUCUGCACUCUCGAAUUUGUGUUCUUUGAAAAUUAUUCUAUUUCAUUUUGUUUUGUCAGUUCUCACUUUGGUCUUGACCUUAAAAAAAUUUUUUUUAACUACGGAAACAGCCCCACCUAGUUAUUUCAUACAAAUGUUACUUAUGAGUCAGAAUCAACUCAACAGCAAUGGUUUUGGUUUUUUUAAUAACAGCAAUAUAAGGCUAUAUGCAGUUCCUUUUUCUGUCCCUUCAAUAAUAGUUUACUCUAUCUAAAUGUCCCUUUUUCCUAAAGAACUAACUAGAAAAGAAUUUUAAAUGUUUAUUAAAACUUACCAUCUAGACUCCUGUGAUCUUAAGGUUGUGUGUCAACUUGGCUGAGCUAAGAUUCUCAGUGUUUUGGCAAUUACGAUGUAGUUUGGCAGUCAUAUAAUGAUGAGAUCUGAUAUAAUAUGAUCACCUCCAUGAUGGGAUAUGCUGUGAGUAGUCAGUCAGUUGAAAGGGAGUUUCCUUGGAGGUGUGGCCUGCAUCCAAAAUAGGUGUACUUUUCUGCCAAGGCUAGAUGGCUUUUGCUAACCUGGAUCCUGCAGCUGUCUCCUGUUCAUUUGAUCUCCAGUUCUUGGGAUUUGAGCUAGCAGCUUACCUGCCAUCUUGCCUGCCUAUCUUGGGAUCCGUUGGUCCCCACUGCCUGUGAGCGAGAGGACUGCCAGUCUUGGGUCACCAACUCCUGCAGCUAUGUGAGUCAGGAGAAGCCUCCAACCCAACUCAUGGACUUGAGACUUUCCAGCCUCUACAACCAUACAGGAGAUGCCAACACAGUCUCAAGUGUCCACCUGAUACAAAUAGCUCACUCUUCAUCAGCAUCUCUCUCCCACCCACUGUCCAGUCCCUUUCCUGUCUGAUGAAUUGUCUUCGGGGAUGGUUCCCGUCCUGUGCCAAAAGAAGGUUUGGGGACCAUGACCGCCGGGAUUCCUCUAGUCACAGCCAGACCAUUAACCUGGAGACUAUGCUUAUUGGAAAAGGAAAAAAUCUUUUGGACCUGCCAGCCUACUAAAGGACUAAACCUGAAAUUCCAAUGAAGAUGGACCAAAAGCAGACAACCUUAGAAGAAAACAGCUGAACCCGAGGAUGAGCAGAAGCUGGCAUCUGGGUAGACUGCUUACAUAUCCAAGAUUCCAGGACAAGGCCUAUAUCUAAACCUACUAAUCUGAAAUCAUUGAAGAGCAUUUUACUCUUUCUUAAAAUUUUUUAAUUUCUUCUUCUUUAAACGAAAAACAUCGUUAUUUUAAUAUUAGCUGCUUCGCUACCUUUUUAUCGUACGAUUCCCUGCCUUUCCAUACAAAUAAUAGUCUCGAUAGUACUAUUUGUUUUUCUCUAAAGGCAGUUUUACCCUAAUAAUUGUUAAUGAUUCUUUUUCCCUUUAAAAUCACUGUGUUUGAUCAAUUAAGACAGGUAAGAAUUACAAUUAAUAUUUUUGAGAUUUGCUUCAUACUUACAUUCUCUCUUUUAUUGCCUUAUUAUAUUAUUUAUUUUUUUACAUUUCAUUUAAAAUAGUCCAGAUUUAUUUUAAACAUUUAAUAGUUUUUAAUUUUCCUUGCUUAUAAAACAACUCCUGUUCAGUAAAGUUAAACUUUUUAAAAUGGUAAAGAAUUUAACUGUAGAAAUACUUAGAAUUUAUUUUUUAACUAUCUUAAUCCUUUUCUUUAUUGUCACUAACCUCCAACUAAGAGGUAUUAUUCCUUGUUUUCAUAUAACUUCCCUCAAAAGGCAAGACCUCUUUUUAUAAGUACUACUUUUAAGAAAUAAUUAUAUUCCUUAUAACCAUCAAGAAUUAGAAUCCAUAUUAGUUCUUUUUGUUUCAAGUUUUCUUGUUACCGUGUUCUUUUGUUUUACCAAUAUUCUUACAACCUGUUUCACACUUUCAAAAUUAUCCCUUUGAUUACAAUAUCGUCUCAAGUCAAUAUUGUUCCUUAAAACCCUGUGCUUUUAAUACAGGUUGUUGCCCUAUGUAUAAUACUUAUUAUGUUUGAAAUAGUUUUGUUUUAUCAGUUAAAAUCAUCCUUUUAGCACAGCCAACAAGGGUCUAUGCUAUAGCCAACACCUCAUACUACCCCUAGAUCAACAUGUCUAGUCAAGUAGACUAAAAUCUCAGAAAAAUUUGAUGAAAAAACCACUUAGUUACACACUGACCCUGAACUUGACUCCUCAUCCUUUGACAUAUUCAUUUGGUUCCCCAGUAAUAUAAAAUCUUAGUUGCACUCCAUACUGCAAGUAGAUUUAGUUUUCUCAACUAUUACUGUACUAAUUGUUUGUAUAAUCAAAUGGUUUAUGAAAUGUUUCUCAAAUCUCUGUAAUCACUAGACUACUCAUUUAACGGUUCAACAUGUCAUGCAUCUUAAAGAAACCGACUAUACAGAGGAAUUUUACCUUAUACCUUAGUUGAAAGCCUUCUGUCUGUCAAGUUGUUCCUUCACAUUCAGCCUUGCUCUAUUCACAUCUCUAUAGUAAAGGAUUACUGAAGCAGAGUACUUAAUAGCAUGGAAAAAACAGUAUGGUAAAAAUUCUUACUGUGGUGCACAACUAUCCACCUGACGACAUCCAAGCCUCGUCAUUUGCUUGAUAGAGUCUGGGGUCUUAAUUGACUUUUACAAGGUAAGCAGCCACCCAUUUAAACUUUUAAACCCAUGCAGAAGACAGGUUACUCCUUUGUAGGCAAUAUGAGACCACCUCACCCUGAAGAUGAGGCCCUAAAAAUAGCAAAGUAAAAGCCUCUACCCAAGGUCAAAGUCCAUGCAGAAGAAUGUACUCCUAAGUGUGAUAAUCAAAUUCCCAGGGAAAUUAUUGAUCAAAGGGGAGAAGUGAGGAAGAACAUUCCAAAAGCUAAGGUUCCUGACAGAUUAGGACUAUGGCUAAGACAUAGGCCUAAUCUCUCCUUGUCCUAAGUGACUCCAUUUUAGAUUUCUAAAUGCAGCUUCUGUCAUAUAAUGUAGCCUGUCACUUCUGGACAUUUUCCACUGUACCUCUAACCUAGAUAUCAGCAGGUCUACAGAAAAGUGUGGUUUUGCCCACUUUGCUUUGCUUAUUUCAAAUUUGUGGUUAAAAAUGGUCCAUUCUAAGAAGAAUAUCCACUUUGUACAGGUGUUAGACAUAGUGUUAAACAGGUAACUUUAGUGGCCAAGCUAAUUAUAAGAAAAUACCCCCUUAAGCCCCUUUAACCAUACUUGCAAUUUUCCAAACCUUUGUUCUAACUAACCCAAAUUAUUGUUAAAAUAACAAAGAAAAAACAAACCCCACUGCUAUAAGAGUCAAUUCCAACUCACAGCAACCCUAUAGGAGAGAGUAGAACAGCCGCAUAGGACUUCCAAGGUGUAAAUCUUUACAGAAGCAGACCGCCUCACCGUUCCUCCCAUGGAGUAGCUGGUGAGUUUGAACUGCUGACAUUUUGAUUAGCAGCCAAGCGCUUUAACCACUGUGCUACUAGGGCUCCUUCAGUUAAAAUAACGUUAAAUAAAGACAAAGCUAUAGUUUUUCUGUAUCAAAACCUUUUUCUCUCCUUAAGCAUUAGAAUAUGUCGAAUUUUCAUUUUUAAUAAUCCCAUUCCUUCAACAAACUUUUUGCUUUUAUAUUUCAACAGAACUCACCAUCACAACACUAAAGUAACUCAGUUUAACACAAGCUGCAGAUGUCUAGAUGUCAGGAAACAUGUGAUUUUAUUGGUCAGCCAGAAUGCUGUCACCUGGAGCUAUCCUUGCAAAAGGGAUCAACCUCUACAAGGAUGGUCAACCAACUGCCACCUGCAACUUUGUAAAUGUUAACCAAUCAAAAAUGUUUUAGCUGUACCCUUCUGUUUGCACUUUUUUUUCCCUUCAUAAGCUUCUGUAUCACUGCAGCCCCCGAAGCAUUUUUUCAGAUUAUUCUGUCACUGUGUUUCCCCAUUUUGCAAAAUGUCUUUUUCACUAUAAUAAAACGCUCUGCUUUUAAACUUAAGCAGACUCAUGUUCUUUCUACUACAACAUACUCAUUAUUAUAAAAACAAUUUAUUACUAAAUGAAGAACUAACCUAUUCCAAUGUAGGUGUCCUUGCCUUUUCCCUUUCCUCCCUUGCAUGUCUCCCUACUCUAUUCCCUCUGAUACAAAAGCUGUUUGGAGAGUGUUUCUGCCUGGGGUUAUGAAUUUGGGGGAAAAAAAAAUUAAGCCAACCAGGUUAUAAAAAUUCCUCUUGGCCAAGACGGCUUUGAGCCAGGCCUGCUGGAAGUCAGAAUGCAUGAACCAAGGAGAGAUGAAGGGUAUGCGUCCCUUCCAA
Molecule: long non-coding RNA, 4725 nt
Organism: Loxodonta africana (African savanna elephant)
Lineage: Eukaryota; Metazoa; Chordata; Mammalia; Proboscidea; Elephantidae
Exons: 3
Source: RefSeq, a predicted model, not a curated record